AGAAGUGAUACAUUUCCUCACCGCCCUCCUGUUCUCUUUGUGAACAACAUGCGUUUUCCAAGAAGUUAAGUGAAACUAAGGAUCCAGUUGGUGGCCACUGAACAGAGAGAAGAACCCAUGGUAUACUGCUGACAAAAGAGGAAGGAGCCAUUUUAAUCACAGUCUCAGAAGCUGUACAGAUACAGGAAUCUUUGCUGAUUUUCUUCAUGGAUGUACACUAAGCACUUACUUUGCUGAACAUACUUAGACCAAAUCCUGAUACUUCUUCAUCUUUGCUUCUGGAAUACUCUAUAGUCAUGUCAUCCAACAAAUAUAAUGUGAGCCACAUAUGACAUCUCAAUCUGAACCAGCCACCUUUCAAUGCUUAAUAACUCCAUGUGGCUAGUGCCUGCCAUACUGGACAAUGUAAGUCUAAAAUUUAUUCUCCUUUGUCAGCCUUAGGAAAACUAGGGUAAUUUAAAAAUACCCAUUUG
This is a long non-coding RNA of Lagenorhynchus albirostris (white-beaked dolphin), 473 nucleotides long. RefSeq lists it as uncharacterized. The transcript has 5 exons. The record is from RefSeq and is a predicted model, not a curated record. Lineage: Eukaryota; Metazoa; Chordata; Mammalia; Artiodactyla; Delphinidae.